This 1688-nucleotide long non-coding RNA is filed under the name Chinchilla lanigera (long-tailed chinchilla). RNAcentral's name for it is "lncRNA (ENSCLAG00000026455.1)". Lineage: Eukaryota; Metazoa; Chordata; Mammalia; Rodentia; Chinchillidae. The record is from RNAcentral.
AUGAUUUUGGGGGAAAACAACAUGUGGGGAACAUGGCCGUGGUUUGUCACCCAAUGUGCAGCUUGCGAAUGGACGCAAAAUUCUGCCAACAUUUUUGUUUGCAAACUCAAUUGUAUUACUGUACCAGCUUCUGUUUUCCUUUUACACAGGACGCGGGGAGAAAGGAGGUGUUUGGUCUCAUACCCCGAGGAAGACGGUGUAUUGGAAGCUGCUCCUCGGUGUCUCCUGAUCGUCGGCAGAAACUCAAGUUAUCCCCAAGCAUUACCUUGCUCCCGGGUCUGCCUUUCCUCUGCAGCUCUCGGCUCCUUCCUCCCGGCAGUGCACACGUGGGUGUGUGGAAGUCCCCAGAGAUCUCACGGAAACAGGCCGUUCUGCAGCUCUGCAGUGGAGCGCGACAGUGUGCACGUCCACCGCCUUCCCAGGGGCCAUAACGCAUAAAACAGAUGCAGGUGGAGCUGCUGCGGUUGGAAUGGGGGCUGGGUCCUCCCGGGAGGAACAAACGCUGGCGCUCUACAGAACUCAGUUUGUGAGCUAUCAGGUGAAUCCACAGCCCCGCCACCACACCAAGAAAUCAGAGGUGGGUGUGUCUUCCUUUAUAAAUCACGUUGGAUGUAUCUGCAGGUUAACUAGAUACCUGACUGCCUUCCAGACAGAAGGAUGACUCACACUGUCACUCCCCGUGAUUUUGAUCCUAGAACCAUUCCUGAUUUCCUAGAAACAAAGAGUCAAGGCCAGAAUUGAACCAUGGAGGCAAACAAUAUCCCAGUCCCCAGAAAGAAACACACAGUAACAGCACAAAGUUACCUAAAACAACCUGGGUCAAGCCUGCUUCUAAACGCCUGCUGCAUGCUGCUUCUCUGCGCUAUGAGGUGGCGCCUUCUGACGCGAGCCUAAGGCACAGAGAGCUUCAGUAACUUCUCCAUGGUCUCUGCUUAUUCAACGAUGAAGCGAAAGGAUCGGUCUAAUCCAGUGGCGGUGAACCCACGGCAGGUGUCCCACAGAGGACUGUUGGCAUCAUGGAAAGUUCUGAAGGAUUUGCCAUCCCUGGGUUCGUCUGCCCCGUGAUUGGGUUCGUAAGUCCUCUUUGAUGAGGAUAGCUCUAAAAGUUCCCAUCCCGAUGUUGAUGCUUUCUACUUUAGAGAGUUCUUUUUUCUCUUUGCUUCUGCUGCUUUUCCAAGAAGUUGAGAAAUCUGCGGCCCCUUCUCCUGUGGACUGACACUAUUCACCUCGCAGAAUCCAUCUGCGGACAGCAACUGUAGGUCACAGUCCAAGUCGCUCCCCAUUUUCAUCCUUGUAGAGAGUGAACUGCGAUGCGGAACUAUCUUUAGUGCUCAGAGCAGAGCUCUUGGAGGCUGCUCGUGGUAUCGGAGCUCGAGCCAAAUAAAGGUUAUUUCUGGUCCUCAGAGCCUCUGCCGUCUGUUGCCCUACAGUUUCUUCCACUUGGCUGUGCUUUCUGUGCCUGGAUGCUGUGUCCUCAUUUCAGCACUGACCUCCCCCAACUCCCCGUAAGUCAAGCGGCACCCACCGCUGAACUUGAUGUUCCCCAUCUUGGCGGUGGGACAUUUGAGUGUUCAGACAGAAGAUAGUCUCUUUCUUACAUCAAGGUUGGCUUAGCUUGGAAAAGUCAAGUAAGCAAAUUGAUUCACCUAUGCCUCUUUUUUCUUUAUAAUAGUUAAUAUUAAUAAAAU